This 877-nucleotide ribosomal RNA is filed under the name Hafnia alvei. RNAcentral's name for it is "bacterial SSU rRNA". It matches the Rfam family "Bacterial small subunit ribosomal RNA", at positions 33 to 898 of the family's 1533-position model. Lineage: Bacteria; Pseudomonadati; Pseudomonadota; Gammaproteobacteria; Enterobacterales; Hafniaceae. The record is from RNAcentral.
GGGCUGGGGCUGGCAGCUAACACAUGCAAGUCGAGCGGUAGCACAAGAGAGCUUGCUCUCUGGGUGACGAGCGGCGGACGGGUGAGUAAUGUCUGGGAAACUGCCUGAUGGAGGGGGAUAACUACUGGAAACGGUAGCUAAUACCGCAUGAUGUCUUCGGACCAAAGUGGGGGACCUUCGGGCCUCACGCCAUCAGAUGUGCCCAGAUGGGAUUAGCUAGUAGGUGGGGUAAUGGCUCACCUAGGCGACGAUCUCUAGCUGGUCUGAGAGGAUGACCAGCCACACUGGAACUGAGACACGGUCCAGACUCCUACGGGAGGCAGCAGUGGGGAAUAUUGCACAAUGGGCGCAAGCCUGAUGCAGCCAUGCCGCGUGUAUGAAGAAGGCCUUCGGGUUGUAAAGUACUUUCAGCGAGGAGGAAGGCAUUAAGGUUAAUAACCUUGGUGAUUGACGUUACUCGCAGAAGAAGCACCGGCUAACUCCGUGCCAGCAGCCGCGGUAAUACGGAGGGUGCAAGCGUUAAUCGGAAUUACUGGGCGUAAAGCGCACGCAGGCGGUUGAUUAAGUCAGAUGUGAAAUCCCCGAGCUUAACUUGGGAACUGCAUUUGAAACUGGUCAGCUAGAGUCUUGUAGAGGGGGGUAGAAUUCCAGGUGUAGCGGUGAAAUGCGUAGAGAUCUGGAGGAAUACCGGUGGCGAAGGCGGCCCCCUGGACAAAGACUGACGCUCAGGUGCGAAAGCGUGGGGAGCAACAGGAUUAGAUACCUGGUAGUCCACGCUGUAAACGAUGUCGACUUGGAGGUUGUGUCCUUGAGGCGUGGCUUCCGGAGCUAACGCGUUAAGUCGACCGCCUGGUGUAGUAUCGUCCGCCAGGUUAAA